Chenopodium quinoa (quinoa) is the source of this 1831-nucleotide long non-coding RNA. RefSeq lists it as uncharacterized. NCBI's taxonomy places the organism in Eukaryota, Viridiplantae, Streptophyta, Magnoliopsida, Caryophyllales, Amaranthaceae. The record is from RefSeq and is a predicted model, not a curated record. The transcript is spliced from 2 exons.
UUUUUUGCAAAAUGUUCAAUUUAUUUUAUUAAAUGUUCAAAAGUAUAUUCGUGGUGCACCUCAUGGUGCACAUAAUACUAAUUGAAAAUGUUUUUUUUUUUAUUAAAUUGGCACGUUUUUUGUGUAACUGGCGGACUGGCCCAUAUGAAACUUUAUAAUCGCCAAUAAUGUUAGCGGGUACCUUAAAAUUGAUAUUGAUUGGUAAGUAAACAAGGGAAACAUAAAUUAAAAAUUUAAAAUUGAUAGGACUUCAAAGCGUCCGAAACUCUGAAUGAACAUCCCGAAAAAAGUAGCCCGAUUGUCAUCAAGAUUCAAUCUCAAACCUUAAGCAAUGGAAGAAACUCAAAGUGGGUGUCCUAAUAUCGGAGCCCCAAUGUCGAAAAAUCGGAUCUUGGGCCGAAUCAGGCGGGCGGGUCCAAUUUAGGGGAGAAAUGAGUGAGCUAGGUUUGAAUGAGAGAGAAAGUGAGACAAGAGAGAGAUUUUGUGGAGUUAAGGAAGAUCGUGGUGUUGGAGAUGUUACAAGAUUGGAGGUGUUGCAGUUUCAGGAUAAAUUAUCUGAAGAACACUCAAAUUGCCAAGCUCAAAUGAAUGAGGAAAUACUCUGUGAUGUCAAGCAAUGCCUAUGCUGCUAGAUAGCUAUAUAUAUAACCGAAGAUUGCAACAAGAUGAAGACAGUUUCGCAGUAGUAUUGCUACUGUUGCAGCAAAGCAAUAAGUGGAUUUGAACAUUUCAAGUUUAUAGUUGAGUCAGGAACAUUUAAGAUGGUAUUCUAUAGAUCAUUCUUGUAUCUGUUUUGGGAAAUUUCACUCAGUUGAAAAUUCUCUGCUAUUCGAGGAGGGGGGAGGGAGGGUGUCAACUGUUUCCACAAGAAUUGCUUGUGCAGUGAAAAAGCAAAUUAGUGCCUGCCAAGUCCUAAGUCAGAUUCAAGCCCAGAUUUUUGCUGCAAAUGCCCAUCCUUGUCCUUGCUAUAAGAAGUUUAAUGCUAAGUUGAGUCUUACAUCCUAAUAUUCAAUUAUGGUACUUUUUUGUGGUACAGUUUUUUCAUGAAAGAUGUAUCUGUUUUACUGAGACAAAAUUUGUAGCUUCAAUGUUACUAAACACGAUACACAUCAACUGCAAUGAAUUCUUGGCUAAAUAUCAUUAUCAUAAUUUAUAUAUGUGGGGCAAAAUGAGUCAAGCAUUUUAUUUAGUGUAUCACAUGUGAAUGAUCUAUUUUUGUAUAUUGACAGGAUGGAAUUAAUAAUCAAAGCUUCGGCUUGGCUUGCCAAUACUACACUGCUAUCUUUGUAGAAAGAUGGCUCUGAGCAUUAUGGACAUGAAUGUUAGAGCACCAACUCAACCAAAAGCUUAAACUGAUGGUUGAGGCCCAGGAAUAUGUUUUAUACUCUAUCACUCCCCCUCACAUGAAAGGCCCUUUGGGCUUGAAAUGUGGAUGCAACACAGACCCACCCAUACCUGGUGCGAAUUAAUUCGACUUUGAAGGAGGAGCGGAUGAGAUUCGAACCCGUGACCUAUAUUCUUAAACUGAUGGUUGAAGCCCAGGAAUAUGUUUUAUAACGAAGGCUGGCAACAUUCACAAGGGGUUAACACUUAACAGAAUACUGAUAGAGAAAACGAGCAAUUGUCUACCUUGAGGUCAGGUGAGUUUCUUCUCCCAUUGGUUAAGAAAGUAGUCCGAUCUAGGUGAAUCCUUUUCAUAAAUUGAGCUUUCUAAUCAAUGUAGAAUCCUUUGGUGGGAAUUUGAUUAAAUUCGCCUGAAGUGAUUUAUAUGUUAUUUAUGUGCUUUAACACACUAGAUGAGUUAGCUACAUAUCAUCUUUAUUCUUUACAA